This 486-nucleotide ribosomal RNA is filed under the name uncultured bacterium. RNAcentral describes it as "partial 16S ribosomal RNA". It matches the Rfam family "Bacterial small subunit ribosomal RNA", at positions 28 to 525 of the family's 1533-position model. The record is from RNAcentral.
GACGAACGCUGGCGGCGUGCUUAACACAUGCAAGUCGAACGGAAAGGCCCUGCUUUUGUGGGGUGCUCGAGUGGCGAACGGGUGAGUAACACGUGAGUAACCUGCCCUUGACUUUGGGAUAACUUCAGGAAACUGGGGCUAAUACCGGAUAGGAGCUCCUGCUGCAUGGUGGGGGUUGGAAAGUUUCGGCGGUUGGGGAUGGACUCGCGGCUUAUCAGCUUGUUGGUGGGGUAGUGGCUUACCAAGGCUUUGACGGGUAGCCGGCCUGAGAGGGUGACCGGCUGCGUUGGCAGUGCGCUACCGCCCAGACUCCUCCGGGGUGCAGGGGUGGGGACUAGUGCCGAAUGCGCGGAGCCCUGAUGCAGCGACGCCGCGUGCGGGCUGCGGGCCUUCGGGAUGUAAACCGCUGUCGCCUGUGAAGAGGGGGGGGUGACGGUAAGGGACAAAGCAGCCCCGGCUAACUACGCGCCAGCGGCCGCGGAUGAU